UGGGGAAUAUUGCACAAUGGGGGAAACCCUGAUGCAGCGACGCCGCGUGAGCGAAGAAGGUUUUCGAGUCGUAAAGUUCUUUUAUAUGGGAAGAUAAUGACGGUACCAUAAGAAAAAGCCCCGGCUAACUACGUGCCAGCAGCCGCGGUAAUACGUAGGGGGCUAGCGUUGUCCGGAAUCACUGGGCGUAAAGGGUUCGCAGGCGGAAAUGCAAGUCAGGUGUAAAAGGCAGUAGCUUAACUACUGUAAGCAUUUGAAACUGCAUAUCUUGAGAAGAGUAGAGGUAAGUGGAAUUUUUAGUGUAGCGGUGAAAUGCGUAGAUAUUAAAAAGAAUACCGGUGGCGAAGGCGACUUACUGGGCUCAUUCUGACGCUGAGGAACGAAAGCGUGGGUAGCAAACAGG
RNAcentral lists this ribosomal RNA (403 nucleotides) under Fusobacteriota bacterium. RNAcentral describes it as "Fusobacteria bacterium partial 16S ribosomal RNA". It matches the Rfam family "Bacterial small subunit ribosomal RNA", at positions 355 to 776 of the family's 1533-position model. The record is from RNAcentral. Lineage: Bacteria; Fusobacteriati; Fusobacteriota.